Molecule: small nuclear RNA, 100 nt
Organism: Cavia aperea (Brazilian guinea pig)
Lineage: Eukaryota; Metazoa; Chordata; Mammalia; Rodentia; Caviidae
Source: Ensembl
GUACUUUGGCAGCACAUAUACCAAAAUUGGAAGGAUAAAGAGAUUAAUGUGACCCUUCUGCAGGAUGCCAUGGAAAAUUUGUGCAGUGUUCUAUAUUGUU